RNAcentral lists this ribosomal RNA (253 nucleotides) under uncultured bacterium. RNAcentral describes it as "partial 16S ribosomal RNA". It matches the Rfam family "Bacterial small subunit ribosomal RNA", at positions 524 to 776 of the family's 1533-position model. The record is from RNAcentral.
UACGUAGGGGGCAAGCGUUGUCCGGAUUUAUUGGGCGUAAAGAGCGUGUAGGCGGCCAGACAGGUCAGCUGUGAAAACUCGAGGCUCAACCUCGAGACGUCGGUUGAAACAGUCUGGCUAGAGUCCGGAAGAGGAGAGUGGAAUUCCCGGUGUAGCGGUGAAAUGCGCAGAUAUCGGGAAGAACACCCGUGGCGAAGGCGGCUCUCUGGGACGGUACUGACGCUGAGACGCGAAAGCGUGGGGAGCGAACAGG